This 84-nucleotide transfer RNA is filed under the name Firmicutes bacterium HGW-Firmicutes-2. Its description in RNAcentral is "tRNA-Leu". It matches the Rfam family "tRNA". From Rfam's summary of the family: Transfer RNA (tRNA) molecules are approximately 80 nucleotides in length. Lineage: Bacteria; Bacillati; Bacillota. RNAcentral also lists the same sequence under 5 other names. The record is from RNAcentral.
GCGGAUAUGGCGGAAUAGGCAGACGCAUCAGACUCAAAAUCUGACGCUGGUGACAGUGUGUGGGUUCGACUCCCACUAUCCGCA